CACAAAUAGAAAAGGCACCGGUUCAGCCCAAACCGGUGCCAAAAAUAAAAAGAGCACCGGUUUGAACCGGUGCCUUUACGAACUGGUCCAUUUAAAUAUAAAAAAAAACCGCCCUUAUAAAAAACCCCCCUAACCCUAAUUAUCUCAGCCGCGUCUCUCUCCUCUCCUCUCCUCUUUCUCUCUCCUCCUCCUCUUCUUUCUCGCCGAUCUACCUCCUUCAUUCUUCAUCUUUCGCCGAUCUACCUCCUCCAACAAUUCGAAAACCACCAACAAAUCGACGACAACAACAUGCAACAAAGAUUUUGAGGUACUUAUAUCUUAAAUUGAAGAAUCAAGAUGCAAGUAUAUUGAUUUAGAUGUUGUAUGGGUUUUUUUAUUGUAAAGUUGUAAAUUUUUAUUUUGAUUUAUAUUGUAUUUUUUUUUAUUCAUAUGUUGCAAUUUUUUUAUUUUGAUUUAUAUGUUGUAAUUUUUUUUUAUUGAUUUAUACUGUAAAUUUUUUUUGAUUAUAUACAUAUUGAACAGAUUUGAUUUA
Long non-coding RNA from Chenopodium quinoa (quinoa), 532 nucleotides. RefSeq lists it as uncharacterized. NCBI's taxonomy places the organism in Eukaryota, Viridiplantae, Streptophyta, Magnoliopsida, Caryophyllales, Amaranthaceae. The transcript has 2 exons. The record is from RefSeq and is a predicted model, not a curated record.